UACGGGGGGGGCAAGCGUUGUUCGGAAUUACUGGGCGUAAAGGGCUCGUAGGUGGCCAACUAAGUCGGACGUGAAAUCCCUCGGCUUAACCGGGGAACUGCGUCCGAUACUGGUUGGCUUGAGUUUGGGAGAGGGAUGCGGAAUUCCAGGUGUUGCGGUGAAAUGCGUAGAUAUCUGGAGGAACACCGGUGGCGAAGGCGGCAUCCUGGACCAAUACUGACGCUGAGGAGCGAAAGCCAGGGGAGCAAACGGG
RNAcentral lists this ribosomal RNA (253 nucleotides) under uncultured bacterium. RNAcentral describes it as "partial 16S ribosomal RNA". It matches the Rfam family "Bacterial small subunit ribosomal RNA", at positions 524 to 776 of the family's 1533-position model. The record is from RNAcentral.